CAUUCCAUCCCAUUCGGGUUGAUUCCAUUCCAUUCCAUUCCAUUCCAUUCCAUUCCAUUCCAUUCCAUUCCAUUCCAUUCCAUUCGUUUCCAUUCCAUUCGGGUUGAUUCCAUUCCAUUAAAUUCCACUGCAUUCCAUUCCAUUCCAUUCCACUCCAUUCCAUUCCAUUCCACUCCAUACAUUCCAUUCCUUUCCACCCGGAUUGAUUCCAUUCCAUUCCAUUCCAUUCUAUGCUAUUCCAUUCCAGCUGAUUCCAUUGGAUUCCAUUCCGUUCCAUUCCAUUCCACUCCUUUCCAUUCCAUUCCAUUGCAUUCGACUCGGGUUGAUUCUGCUCCAUUCCAUUGCAUUACAUUCCAUUUCAUUCCAUUCGGGUUGAUUCCUUUCCAUUCCAUUCCGUUCCAGUCGGGUUAAUUCCAUUCCGUUCCUUU
RNAcentral lists this long non-coding RNA (428 nucleotides) under Homo sapiens (human). RNAcentral's name for it is "HSALNT0072076". Lineage: Eukaryota; Metazoa; Chordata; Mammalia; Primates; Hominidae. The record is from RNAcentral.